Non-coding RNA from Podarcis lilfordi (Lilford's wall lizard), 1201 nucleotides. NCBI's taxonomy places the organism in Eukaryota, Metazoa, Chordata, Lepidosauria, Squamata, Lacertidae. The record is from the annotation of a GenBank genome assembly.
CUCACCUGGAGUACUGUGUCCAGUUCUGGGCACCACAGUUCAAGAAGGACACUGACAAAUUGGAACGUGUCCAGAGGAGGGCAACCAAAAUGGUCAAAGGCCUGGAAACGAUGCCUUAUGAGGAACAGCUAAGGGAGCUGGGCAUGUUUAGCCUGGAGAAGAGGAGGUUAAGGGGUGAUAUGAUAGCCAUGUUCAAAUAUAUAAAAGGAUGUCACAUAGAGGAGGGAGAAAGGUUGUUUUCUGCUGCUCCAGAGAAGCGGACACGGAGCAAUGGAUCCAAACUACAAGAAAGAAGAUUCCACCUAAACAUUAGGAAGAACUUCCUGACAGUAAGAGCUGUUCGACAGUGGAAUUUGCUGCCAAGGAGUGUGGUGGAGUCUCCUUCUUUGGAGGUCUUUAAGCAGAGGCUUGACAACCAUAUGUCAGGAGUACUCUGAUGGUGUUUCCUGCUUGGCAGGGGGUUGGACUCGAUGGCCCUUGUGGUCUAUUCCAACUCUAUGAUUCUAUGAUUCUAUGAAACGCUGUUACCCUUUUACCCUCCUAGUCUUAUUUUAUCCUGUCUCUAACUCUUCUACCUCCCCUCACACAAGAACCAACUGCACUAACUGUCUCUCUAUUUCCAACUGUCUGCCAACUGCUUUCCCAACCGCUCCUUCCCAGUGCUUCUUCCCAACUGUCUAAACCUCUGGCUAAGCCCUUUUAAAAACAGGUAGGCUCCGCCUUUGGCUUUUCUAUUAGUCUACCUAUUAACUCUUUCUCUCCCCCUGUGCAGACAUUUCCAAAAGAACGGGCAAACGCCACACAUGGAAACACCAUCCUUUCUAGGCAUGGGUCGCAGCGGUUUCUUGUUUUCCCUGGUACUUCCCUCCAGAAACUCACCCUUUAGUGCUACAUCAGAGCAAAAGUCAAUGCGGAUAAAGCCCAAUGGAUGCUUGCUCUGAUUCAGCAGUAAAUAGAGAGCAUAAAACCACAACAAAGACCAUAAGAAGAGCCUGUUGCAUCAGGCCAAUGGCUUAUAUAGCCUAAUGUCAUGUUCACACAGUGGCCAACCUGAUAUCCAUGGAAAUCUCACGAGGAGGACCCAAGCAGAAGAGCAGAAAGGCAGUUUCCAGAAGCAACAGCCAACCUUGAAAGGUUGUGGAGCAGAGGUAAUCUUAAAUAUGGGUAUUGUGUUAUGUUCUAUGAACUGGACACUAAGGGC